GUACGUCUACGAGUAGUAGUUUCGACGUCCGUGGCUACGAGACGACGCUGGCGGCGUGCUUAACACAUGCAAGUCGAGCGAUGAAGCUCCUUCGGGAGCGGAUUAGCGGCGGACGGGUGAGUAACACGUGGGUAACCUGCCUCAUAGAGGGGAAUAGCCUUUCGAAAGGAAGAUUAAUACCGCAUAAGAUUGUAGCUUCGCAUGAAGCAGCAAUUAAAGGAGUAAUCCGCUAUGAGAUGGACCCGCGUCGCAUUAGCUAGUUGGUGAGGUAACGGCUCACCAAGGCGACGAUGCGUAGCCGACCUGAGAGGGUGAUCGGCCACAUUGGGACUGAGACACGGCCCAGACUCCUACGGGAGGCAGCAGUGGGGAAUAUUGCACAAUGGGGGAAACCCUGAUGCAGCAACGCCGCGUGAGUGAUGACGGUCUUCGGAUUGUAAAACUCUGUCUUUGGGGACGAUAAUGACGGUACCCAAGGAGGAAGCCACGGCUAACUACGUG
This 501-nucleotide ribosomal RNA is filed under the name uncultured Clostridium sp. RNAcentral describes it as "bacterial SSU rRNA". It matches the Rfam family "Bacterial small subunit ribosomal RNA", at positions 1 to 507 of the family's 1533-position model. Lineage: Bacteria; Bacillati; Bacillota; Clostridia; Eubacteriales; Clostridiaceae. The record is from RNAcentral.